UCCUUGGUAUCUCAGCUGGUAAAGAAUCUGCCUGCAAUGCAGGAGACCCUGGUUCGAUUCAUGGGUCAGGAA
Molecule: transfer RNA, 72 nt
Filed under: Bos taurus (domestic cattle)
Lineage: Eukaryota; Metazoa; Chordata; Mammalia; Artiodactyla; Bovidae
Also listed under: 5 other names
Rfam family: tRNA
About the family: Transfer RNA (tRNA) molecules are approximately 80 nucleotides in length.
Source: Rfam by way of RNAcentral